Oncorhynchus tshawytscha (Chinook salmon) is the source of this 343-nucleotide long non-coding RNA. The record is from Ensembl. Lineage: Eukaryota; Metazoa; Chordata; Actinopteri; Salmoniformes; Salmonidae.
GGGGUAUUAGAUGUAGGAUGGUAGUGUUAGAUGUAGGGUGGUGGUAUUAGAUGGUGGCGGUAUUAGAUGUAGGGUGGUGGUGUUAGAUGUAGGGUGGUGUUAGAUAUAGGGUGUGGGUGAUGUUAAAUAUAGGGUGGUGGUGUUAGAUGUAGGGUGGUGGUGUUAGAUAUAGGUUGGUGGUGUUAGAUGUAGGGUGGUGGUGUUAGAUAAGGGUGGUGGUGUUAGAUAUAGGGUGUGGGUGAUGUUAAAUAUAGGGUGGUGGUGCUAGAUAAGGGUCAUGGUGUUAGCUAUAGGUUGGUGGUGUUAGAUAUAGGGUGGUGGUGUUAGAUGUAGGGUGGUGGUG